Molecule: ribosomal RNA, 65 nt
Filed under: uncultured bacterium
Lineage: Bacteria
Description: partial 16S ribosomal RNA
Source: RNAcentral
UGGGCUUGAACUGUAGGCAUAGCUACCUGAAAGGGCUAGUGAUGUUUCUUUGAAACAACCUAUAG